UGGGGAAUAUUGCACAAUGGGCGCAAGCCUGAUGCAGCCAUGCCGCGUGUGUGAAGAAGGCCUUCGGGUUGUAAAGCACUUUCAGCGAGGAGGAAGGUGGUGAACUUAAUACGUUCAUCAAUUGACGUUACUCGCAGAAGAAGCACCGGCUAACUCCGUGCCAGCAGCCGCGGUAAUACGGAGGGCGCAAGCGUUAAUCGGAAUUACUGGGCGUAAAGCGCACGCAGGCGGUUUGUUAAGUCAGAUGUGAAAUCCCCGGGCUCAACCUGGGAACUGCAUUUGAAACUGGCAAGCUAGAGUCUCGUAGAGGGGGGUAGAAUUCCAGGUGUAGCGGUGAAAUGCGUAGAGAUCUGGAGGAAUACCGGUGGCGAAGGCGGCCCCCUGGACGAAGACUGACGCUCAGGUGCGAAAGCGUGGGGAGCAAACAGGAUUAGAUACCCUGGUAGUCCACGCUGUAAACGAUGUCGAUUUGGAGGUUGUGCCCUUGAGGCGUGGCUUCCGGAGCUAACGCGUUAAAUCGACCGCCUGGGGAGUACGGCCGCAAGGUUAAAACUCAAAGG
This 560-nucleotide ribosomal RNA is filed under the name uncultured bacterium. RNAcentral describes it as "partial 16S ribosomal RNA". It matches the Rfam family "Bacterial small subunit ribosomal RNA", at positions 355 to 907 of the family's 1533-position model. The record is from RNAcentral.